CGAAAGGUUGGCUAAUACCGCAUGAGUUCUACGGAAGAAAGAGGGGGACCCGCAAGGGCCUCUCGCGAGCGGAGCGGCCGAUGACUGAUUAGCCGGUUGGUGAGGUAACGGCUCACCAAAGCAACGAUCAGUAGCUGGUCUGAGAGGACGACCAGCCACACUGGGACUGAGACACGGCCCAGACUCCUACGGGAGGCAGCAGUGGGGAAUUUUGGACAAUGGGCGCAAGCCUGAUCCAGCUAUUCCGCGUGUGGGAUGAAGGCCCUCGGGUUGUAAGCCACUUUUGUAGAGAACGAAAAGACACCUUUUAAAAAAGGGUGUUGCUGACGGUACUCUAAGAAUAAGCACCGGCUAACUACGUGCCAGCAGCCGCGGUAAUACGUAGGGUGCGAGCGUUAAUCGGAAUUACUGGGCGUAAAGGGUGCGCAGGCGGUUGAGUAAGACAGAUGUGAAAUCCCCGAGCUUAACUCGGGAAUGGCAUAUGUGACUGCUCGACUAGAGUGUGUCAGAGGGAGGUGGAAUUCCACGUGUAGCAGUGAAAUGCGUAGAUAUGUGGAAGAACACCGAUGGCGAAGGCAGCCUCCUGGGACAUAACUGACGCUCAGGCACGAAAGCGUGGGAAGCAAACAGGAUUAGAUACCCUGGUAGUCCACGCCCUAAACGAU
RNAcentral lists this ribosomal RNA (665 nucleotides) under uncultured bacterium. RNAcentral's name for it is "bacterial SSU rRNA". It matches the Rfam family "Bacterial small subunit ribosomal RNA", at positions 152 to 810 of the family's 1533-position model. The record is from RNAcentral.